RNAcentral lists this ribosomal RNA (609 nucleotides) under uncultured bacterium. RNAcentral describes it as "bacterial SSU rRNA". It matches the Rfam family "Bacterial small subunit ribosomal RNA", at positions 8 to 612 of the family's 1533-position model. The record is from RNAcentral.
AGAGUUUGAUCAUGGCUCAGGAUGAACGCUAGCGGCAGGCUUAACACAUGCAAGUCGAGGGGUAACAUUAGUGCUUGCACUAGAUGACGACCGGCGCACGGGUGAGUAACGCGUAUGCAACCUACCUUUAACAGGGAGAUAGCCCGAAGAAAUUCGGAUUAAUAUCCCAUAAUACAUUAAUAUGGCAUCAUAUAAAUGUUAAAACUCCGGUGGUUAAAGAUGGGCAUGCGUAACAUUAGUUAGUUGGUAAGGUAAUGGCUUACCAAGACAAUGAUGUUUAGGGGUUCUAAAAGGAAGAUCCCCCACACUGGUACUGAGACACGGACCAGACUCCUACGGGAGGCAGCAGUGAGGAAUAUUGGGCAAUGGGUGAGAACCUGACCCAGCCAUGCCGCGUGCAGGAUUACAGCCCUAUGGGUUUUAAACUGCUUUUAUACGGGAAGAAAAUGGGCUACGUGUAGCCUACUGCCGGUACCGUAUGAAUAAGCAUCGGCUAACUCCGUGCCAGCAGCCGCGGUAACACGGAGGAUGUAAGCGUUAUCCGGAUUUAUUAGGUUUAAAGGGUGCGUAGGCUGAUUAUUAAGUCAGUGGUGAAAUCUUGUAGCUUAA